RNAcentral lists this ribosomal RNA (417 nucleotides) under Rikenellaceae bacterium. RNAcentral describes it as "bacterial SSU rRNA". It matches the Rfam family "Bacterial small subunit ribosomal RNA", at positions 86 to 502 of the family's 1533-position model. The record is from RNAcentral. Lineage: Bacteria; Pseudomonadati; Bacteroidota; Bacteroidia; Bacteroidales; Rikenellaceae.
UGGCGGCGACCGGCGGAAGGGUGCGUAACACGUGAGCAACUUGCCCGUAUCAGGGGGAUAACCGAUGGAAACGUCGCCUAAUACCCCAUAACAACAUCAGCUGCAUGGCAGAUGUUUGAAAGCUACGGUGGAUACGGAUAGGCUCGCGGGACAUUAGCUAGUUGGAGUGGUAACGGCACACCAAGGCGACGAUGUCUAGGGGUUCUGAGAGGAAGGUCCCCCACAUUGGAACUGAGACACGGUCCAAACUCCUACGGGAGGCAGCAGUGAGGAAUAUUGGUCAAUGGGCGGAAGCCUGAACCAGCCAUGCCGCGUGAAGGAAUAAGGCCCUAUGGGUCGUAAACUUCUUUUGUAUCGGAGCAAUAAGGGUCACGAGUGAUCCGAUGAGAUUACGAUACGAAUAAGCAUCGGCUAACU